This 440-nucleotide ribosomal RNA is filed under the name uncultured bacterium. RNAcentral's name for it is "partial 16S ribosomal RNA". It matches the Rfam family "Bacterial small subunit ribosomal RNA", at positions 338 to 795 of the family's 1533-position model. The record is from RNAcentral.
CCUACGGGAGGCAGCAGUGGGGAAUAUUGCACAAUGGGGGAACCCCUGAUGCAGCGACGCCGCGUGAGGGAAGAAUGAUUUCGGUACGUAAAGCUCUAUCAGCAAGGAAGAAAAUGACGGUACCUGAAUAAGAAGCCCCGGCUAAAUACGUGCCAGCAGCCGCGGUCAUACGUAGGGGGCAAGCGGUAACCGGGUUUACUGGGUGUAAAGGGAGCGUAGGCGGGAGCGCAAGUCUGGAGUGAAAUCCGAUGGCUUAACCAUGGAACUGCUUUGGAAACUGUGCAGCUAGAGUGCAGGAGAGGUAAGCGGAAUUCCUGGUGUAGCGGUGAAAUGCGUAGAUAUUAGGAGGAACACCAGUGGCGAAGGCGGCUUACUGGACUGUAACUGACGUUGAGGCUCGAAAGCGUGGGGAGCAAACAGGAUUAGAUACCCGAGUAGUC